GUGCCCACUUGGGCAGCACAGAUACUGAAACUGGAAGGAUACAAAGAAGAUUAGCAUGACCCCUGCACAAGGAUGACACCCAAAUUCAUGAAGCAUUCCAUAUUUUU
Small nuclear RNA from Leptonychotes weddellii (Weddell seal), 107 nucleotides. NCBI's taxonomy places the organism in Eukaryota, Metazoa, Chordata, Mammalia, Carnivora, Phocidae. The record is from RefSeq and is a predicted model, not a curated record.